GGAUGAACGCUAGCGACAGGCUUAACACAUGCAAGUCGAGGGGCAGCAUAAAAGUAGCAAUACUUUGGUGGCGACCGGCGCACGGGUGAGUAACGCGUAUGCAACCUACCUAUCAGAGGGGGAUAACCCGGCGAAAGUCGGACUAAUACCGCAUAAAACAGGGGCACCGCAUGGUGAUAUUUGUUAAAAAUUUAUUGCUGAUAGAUGGGCAUGCGUUCCAUUAGGUAGUUGGAGAGGUAACGGCUCACCAAGCCUACGAUGGAUAGGGGAACUGAGAGGUUGGUCCCCCACACUGGUACUGAGACACGGACCAGACUCCUACGGGAGGCAGCAGUGAGGAAUAUUGGUCAAUGGGCGAGAGCCUGAACCAGCCAAGUCGCGUGAAGGAAGAAGGAUCUAUGGUUCGUAAACUUCUUUUGCAGGGGAAUAAAGUGCAGGACGUGUCCUGUUUUGUAUGUACCCUGAGAAUAAGGAUCGGCUAACUCCGUGCCAGCAGCCGCGGUAAUACGGAGGAUCCGAGCGUUAUCCGGAUUUAUUGGGUUUAAAGGGUGCGUAGGUGGUUUAAUAAGUCAGCGGUGAAAGUUUGCAGCUUAACUGUAAAAAUGCCGUUGAAACUGUUAGACUUGAGUGUAAAUGAGGUAGGCGGAAUGCGUGGUGUAGCGGUGAAAUGCUUAGAUAUCACGCAGAACUCCGAUUGCGAAGGCAGCUUACCAAGCUACAGCUGACACUGAAGCACGAAAGCGUGGGGAUCAAACAGGAUUAGAUACCCUGGUAGUCCACGCAGUAAACGAUGAUUACUAGCUGUUUGCGAUACACAGUAAGCGGCACAGCGAAAGCG
RNAcentral lists this ribosomal RNA (838 nucleotides) under uncultured bacterium. RNAcentral's name for it is "bacterial SSU rRNA". It matches the Rfam family "Bacterial small subunit ribosomal RNA", at positions 27 to 859 of the family's 1533-position model. The record is from RNAcentral.